UACGGAGGGUGCAAGCGUUGCUCGGAAUUAUUGGGCGUAAAGGGUAGGUAGGUGGUCUCAUUUGUGUGGGGUGAAAGCCUUGGGCUUAACUCAAGAAGUGCCCCGCAAACGGUGAGACUGGAGUCUUGGAGAGGGUUGCGGAAUUCCCGGUGUAGCGGUGAAAUGCGUAGAGAUCGGGAGGAACACCAGAGGCGAAGGCGGCAACCUGGACAAGUACUGACACUCAACUACGAAAGCGUGGGGAGCAAACAGG
Molecule: ribosomal RNA, 253 nt
Filed under: uncultured bacterium
Lineage: Bacteria
Description: partial 16S ribosomal RNA
Rfam family: Bacterial small subunit ribosomal RNA
Source: RNAcentral